CCAAUAGCGUAUAUUAAAGUUGUUGCAGUUAAAAAGCUCGUAGUUGAAUUUCGGGAUUCGUCGGUUGGUCGGGCUUCACUGUCCGCACUGACCUGACGGGUUCCUACCUUCUGAAUAACCAGCAUGCUAUUAAGUUAGUGCGUUGGGGAAGCAGAGCUAUUACCUUGAAAAAAUUAGAGUGCUUAAAGCAGGCUUGUGCUUGAAUAGAUUAGCAUGGAAUAAUAAAAUAGGACGGCAUGGUUCUAUUUUGUUGGUUUCUAGGAUCACCGUAAUGAUUAAUAGGGAUAGUUGGGGGCAUUAGUAUUCAAUUGUCAGAGGUGAAAUUCUUGGAUUUAUUGAAGACUAACUUCUGCGAAAGCAUUUGCCAAGGAUGUUUUCAUUAAUCAAGAACGANAGUUAGGGGAUCGAAGACGAUCAGAUACCGUCGUAGUCUUAACCAUAAACUAUGCCGACUAGGGAUCGGACGAUGUUAAUUUUUUAAUGACUCGUUCGGCGCCUUACG
This 502-nucleotide ribosomal RNA is filed under the name uncultured Acaulospora. RNAcentral's name for it is "SSU rRNA". It matches the Rfam family "Eukaryotic small subunit ribosomal RNA", at positions 591 to 1092 of the family's 1831-position model. The record is from RNAcentral. Lineage: Eukaryota; Fungi; Glomeromycota; Glomeromycetes; Diversisporales; Acaulosporaceae.